AAUGGCACAAGUUACCCUUCAUAGAGCAUUAUUCUGAAUUCAACUCGGCGCCAUCGAAAAGUUUCAUACCCUGUGUUUGUUGAUUUCUGGACCUUCACUGUCUUCUGGUUAAAUAAACCUUUGUGGCAUGAGUAGUAGUGGUUUGAAUGUGUUUAAAUGAAGAGCCUUAAUAGUUUAUGAAUGUUAUUCUUUCAUUCAUAGUGAGAAAGAAGCUCCUGUAUCUCAUGGGGAUGAUGACAACCACUCCCCUCUGUCAACUCCUCUCUUUCGCCAUUUGAUUUCACAAGAAGAAUCGGGUCAGUGCCCUGAAUGGCUGUCUGGUUUCUGUAGGACCUGCUGGAAGUGGCUCAGAAGAGCACAGUCAUGCUAAGCCAGCUGUCCUGCAGGGAGAGCUGUGCCACUGGGAGGCAUGACCUCACUGAGGGCUGCUGCGAGACAUGGAUCUGCAUCCUAUUUUGCUUCUUUGGCAAGGUCAUGUUCCAGUGUGAAGGUGUGAGGCCGUGGUACAGCUUGCCUGAGGUGGCACAGCAGGGGGACAAGUCAAGAUCAUGCUCAAGGUGUCCUCGCCGCAUGCUGCACUGCUGCUGCAUUGCUCCCUCACAUGGACAUUUCCCAGAAGCCUGUGCAGGUUGGUCACGUUAAGGUCAGUUGGCAACAGAAGACCAAAAAGUUAUAAAGUUUACCUCUCAUGGCAAGUCAGUUUGCUUUCAUUUCAUGUUUCCACC
Molecule: long non-coding RNA, 725 nt
Filed under: Calidris pugnax (ruff)
Lineage: Eukaryota; Metazoa; Chordata; Aves; Charadriiformes; Scolopacidae
Description: lncRNA (ENSCPUG00000009236.1)
Source: RNAcentral